GCUUAGGUGGCUCAGUCAGUUAAGCAUCUGACUUCGGCUCAGGUCAUGAUCUCACAGUUCGUGGGUUCAAGCCCCGCUUUGGGUU
Molecule: transfer RNA, 85 nt
Filed under: Felis catus (domestic cat)
Lineage: Eukaryota; Metazoa; Chordata; Mammalia; Carnivora; Felidae
Rfam family: tRNA
About the family: Transfer RNA (tRNA) molecules are approximately 80 nucleotides in length. Their secondary structure includes four short double-helical elements and three loops (D, anti-codon, and T loops).
Source: Rfam by way of RNAcentral